This 486-nucleotide ribosomal RNA is filed under the name uncultured bacterium. Its description in RNAcentral is "SSU rRNA". It matches the Rfam family "Bacterial small subunit ribosomal RNA", at positions 26 to 521 of the family's 1533-position model. The record is from RNAcentral.
AGGACGAACGCUGGCGGCGUGCUUAACACAUGCAAGUCGAGCGGGUAAGGCGUCCUUACGGGAGUACACGAGCGGCGAACGGGUGAGUAACACGUGAGCAAUCUGCCCUUCACACUGGGAUAACCCCGGGAAACCGGGGCUAAUACCGGAUGCGACCACCGACGGCAUCGUCUGGUGGUGGAAAGUUCCGGCGGUGGAGGAUGAGCUCGCGGCCUAUCAGCUUGUUGGUGGGGUAACGGCCUACCAAGGCGACGACGGGUAGCUGGUCUGAGAGGACGACCAGCCACACUGGGACUGAGACACGGCCCAGACUCCUACGGGAGGCAGCAGUGGGGAAUCUUGCGCAAUGGGCGAAAGCCUGACGCAGCGACACCGCGUGGGGGAUGAAGGCCUUUCAGGUCGUAAACCCUUUCGGCAGGGACGAAGCGAUCUCGUGACGGUACCUGCAGAAGAAGCCUCGGCUAACUACGUGCCAGCAGCCGCGGU